GAUGAACGCUGGCGGCGUGCUUAACACAUGCAAGUCGAACGAUGAAGCCCAGCUUGCUGGGUGGAUUAGUGGCGAACGGGUGAGUAACACGUGAGUAACCUGCCCUUGACUCUGGGAUAAGCCUGGGAAACUGGGUCUAAUACUGGAUAUGACUUCUCAUCGCAUGGUGGGGGGUGGAAAGAUUUAUUGGUCUUGUAUGGACUCGCGGCCUAUCAGCUUGUUGGUGAGGUAAUGGCUCACCAAGGCGACGACGGGUAGCCGGCCUGAGAGGGUGACCGGCCACACUGGGACUGAGACACGGCCCAGACUCCUACGGGAGGCAGCAGUGGGGAAUAUUGCACAAUGGGCGCAAGCCUGAUGCAGCGACGCCGCGUGAGGGAUGACGGCCUUCGGGUUGUAAACCUCUUUCAGUAGGGAAGAAGCGAGAGUGACGGUACCUGCAGAAGAAGCGCCGGCUAACUACGUG
This 466-nucleotide ribosomal RNA is filed under the name uncultured bacterium. RNAcentral's name for it is "partial 16S ribosomal RNA". It matches the Rfam family "Bacterial small subunit ribosomal RNA", at positions 28 to 507 of the family's 1533-position model. The record is from RNAcentral.